This 28-nucleotide ribosomal RNA is filed under the name Platanus occidentalis var. occidentalis. Lineage: Eukaryota; Viridiplantae; Streptophyta; Magnoliopsida; Proteales; Platanaceae. The record is from RNAcentral.
CUCCUGGGAAGUCCUCGUGUUGCACCGC